GCUGGGCGUGGUGGCUCAUGCCUAUAAUCCUAGCACUUUGGGAGGCUGAGGCAGGUGGAUCUCUUGAGACCAGGAAUUUGAGAUCAGCCUGGGGCAACAUAUUGAAAUCCCGUCUCUACAAAAAAUACAAAAAAAAAAAAAAAAAAAAAAAAAANNNNNNNNNNCGCAUGCCACCACACCUGGCUAUUUUUUUUUUUUUUUUUUUUUUUUUUGUAUUUUUUGUAGAGACGGGAUUUCAAUAUGUUGCCCCAGGCUGAUCUCAAAUUCCUGGUCUCAAGAGAUCCACCUGCCUCAG
RNAcentral lists this signal recognition particle RNA (295 nucleotides) under Chlorocebus sabaeus (green monkey). Its description in RNAcentral is "Metazoan signal recognition particle RNA". It matches the Rfam family "Metazoan signal recognition particle RNA". Rfam says of the family: The signal recognition particle (SRP) is a universally conserved ribonucleoprotein. It is involved in the co-translational targeting of proteins to membranes. The eukaryotic SRP consists of a 300-nucleotide 7S RNA and six proteins: SRPs 72, 68, 54, 19, 14, and 9. Lineage: Eukaryota; Metazoa; Chordata; Mammalia; Primates; Cercopithecidae. The record is from Rfam by way of RNAcentral.